AUUGUUUAUAUGACAUAUAGUGUCUUUUUUGUAUUUGGCUCUACAUAGACCUCUGAAGUCUCUUAAGUAUGUGUGUAAAAGGACAGUUUUUUAGAGUGAAGAAAAAGUGGAAUUUAAGAUGGUUGACUGCAUGUAAUUAGCUUCCAGUAAUGGAUCACAGUUCAGGCAGCCAUCACCCACAAAGUUACUGUAUAGCAAAAUUGCUGGAGUCAGCAGGCUUCUGGAAAAUACCCACCACUAUUGUCUAAAUGCUUGUGUUCCAGUAUUUUUCCACAAUUAUUUUUGUUUCUGCAGCAUUGUGUUCUCUCUGUGAGCACCACUGUGGAGGUGAUUGUUUUGGGAGGAAUGAGCUCUGAAUUUCCAAGCUGUCCUGAGGGUGUGGAAAAAAGGUCUUUCAUGGAAAAUACCUCAAUUAAAAAUAUGACAGUACAUAAUCGUGGACCUGAGGAGACCUGACACACAUUUCACUCCUGGCCCCUGACUGCCUGGGUGCUGGAUUGAGCUCAACGGAGAACCAGCUUUUCCACACAAACUGAGAAGAUGCCUGAGCUGCGUGGGCCGCCCGAAUUCAGGGAGAGUGAGCAGAUGGCACCCUGAGCUCGCUGCAGGCCUGGUGAUGCUGUUCCUGAUGAACUUGGUUUGAAACACUAGUUCUCAUCCCUUGUGGAAAACCACAGUGGUUCAUGACACAUGGACCUCAGCUGUUCCAGCUUCCUGCUCCCAUACACGUGUGUGUGUGUUUGUGCACUUGUGUGGGUGCAGCAACAUUUGACUCAGCUAGGUCUUGCUGGUGGGAGAGCAGAAUUUCUGUGCUGGACUCACUGUGUGAGUUAUUGUGUAUACAGAUGAUAAUAUUGGAUGGCAACAAUAUCCCUGGGAAGCUCUCUGCACACUUGUUGGAGAGUGGGUGGGAGAGGGUCAGAGGCUGCUUGCCAUAAUCAUGUGCUAUUGCAGUAUUCAUAUAAGUGGUUCGUGUUUAUUCUGUUUUCUCUUUUCUUACUGGUUUAAUACUGGAGCCUCUUCUGUAAAAAUGAAGGAGUAAUUAAAUCAUUGCUUAUCAGUAA
Long non-coding RNA from Passer domesticus (house sparrow), 1064 nucleotides. RefSeq lists it as uncharacterized. NCBI's taxonomy places the organism in Eukaryota, Metazoa, Chordata, Aves, Passeriformes, Passeridae. The record is from RefSeq and is a predicted model, not a curated record. The transcript is spliced from 2 exons.